This 253-nucleotide ribosomal RNA is filed under the name uncultured bacterium. RNAcentral describes it as "partial 16S ribosomal RNA". It matches the Rfam family "Bacterial small subunit ribosomal RNA", at positions 524 to 776 of the family's 1533-position model. The record is from RNAcentral.
UACGGGGGGGGCAAGCGUUGUUCGGAAUUACUGGGCGUAAAGGGUUCGUAGGUGGCCAACUAAGUCAGACGUGAAAUCCCUCGGCUCAACCGGGGAACUGCGUCUGAUACUGGUUGGCUUGAGUGCAGGAGAGGAACGCGGAAUUCCUGGUGUAGCGGUGAAAUGCGCAGAUAUCAGGAGGAACACCAAUUGCGAAGGCAGCUCGCUGGGACGUCACUGACGCUGAGACGCGAAAGCGUGGGGAGCAAACAGG